This is a long non-coding RNA of Chrysoperla carnea, 75 nucleotides long. RefSeq lists it as uncharacterized. The record is from RefSeq and is a predicted model, not a curated record. The transcript has 3 exons. NCBI's taxonomy places the organism in Eukaryota, Metazoa, Arthropoda, Insecta, Neuroptera, Chrysopidae.
AUUUUUAAUAGAAAUAAGUAAAACAGGGCCGGAUUAAUCCUCAACGGGGCCCUAGGCAACCAUCAAUUUGGGGGC